CAGUAGCCGCGGUAACACGUAGGGUGCAAGCGUUAAUCGGAAUUACUGGGCGUAAAGCGUGCGCAGGCGGUUAUAUAAGACAGAUGUGAAAUCCCCGGGCUCAACCUGGGAACUGCAUUUGUGACUGUAUAGCUAGAGUACGGCAGAGGGGGAUGGAAUUCCGCGUGUAGCAGUGAAAUGCGUAGAUAUGCGGAGGAACACCGAUGGCGAAGGCAAUCCCCUGGGCCUGUACUGACGCUCAUGCACGAAAGCGUGGGGAGCAAACAGGAUUAGAUACCCCGGUAGUCCCUGUCUCUUAUAA
Molecule: ribosomal RNA, 301 nt
Filed under: uncultured bacterium
Lineage: Bacteria
Description: partial 16S ribosomal RNA
Rfam family: Bacterial small subunit ribosomal RNA
Source: RNAcentral